Molecule: ribosomal RNA, 367 nt
Filed under: Klebsiella pneumoniae
Lineage: Bacteria; Pseudomonadati; Pseudomonadota; Gammaproteobacteria; Enterobacterales; Enterobacteriaceae
Description: bacterial LSU rRNA
Rfam family: Bacterial large subunit ribosomal RNA
Source: RNAcentral
AGGUGGGAGGCUUUGAAGCGUGGACGCCAGUCUGCGUGGAGCCAACCUUGAAAUACCACCCUUUAAUGUUUGAUGUUCUAACGUUGGCCCCUUACCGGGUUGCGGACAGUGUCUGGUGGGUAGUUUGACUGGGCGGUCUCCUCCCAAAGCGUAACGGAGGAGCACGAAGGUUAGCUAAUCCUGGUCGGACAUCAGGAGGUUAGUGCAAUGGCAUAAGCUAGCUUGACUGCGAGCGUGACGGCGCGAGCAGGUGCGAAAGCAGGUCAUAGUGAUCCGGUGGUUCUGAAUGGAAGGGCCAUCGCUCAACGGAUAAAAGGUACUCCGGGGAUAACAGGCUGAUACCGCCCAAGAGUUCAUAUCGACGGCG